Molecule: ribosomal RNA, 658 nt
Filed under: uncultured bacterium
Lineage: Bacteria
Description: bacterial SSU rRNA
Rfam family: Bacterial small subunit ribosomal RNA
Source: RNAcentral
AGAGGGGGAUAACAUUCUGAAAAGAAUGCUAAUACCGCAUGACAUAUCGGAACCACAUGGUUCUGAUAUCAAAGAUUUUAUCGCUUGAAGAUGGACUCGCGUCCGAUUAGUUAGUUGGUGAGGUAACGGCUCACCAAGACCGCGAUCGGUAGCCGGACUGAGAGGUUGAACGGCCACAUUGGGACUGAGACACGGCCCAGACUCCUACGGGAGGCAGCAGUGGGGGAUAUUGCGCAAUGGGGGCAACCCUGACGCAGCAACGCCGCGUGAAGGAUGAAGGUUUUCGGAUUGUAAACUUCUUUUAUUAAGGACGAAAAAUGACGGUACUUAAUGAAUAAGCUCCGGCUAACUACGUGCCAGCAGCCGCGGUAAUACGUAGGGAGCAAGCGUUGUCCGGAUUUACUGGGUGUAAAGGGUGCGUAGGCGGCUUUGCAAGUCAGAUGUGAAAUCUAUGGGCUCAACCCAUAAACUGCAUUUGAAACUGUAGAGCUUGAGUGAAGUAGAGGCAGGCGGAAUUCCCCGUGUAGCGGUGAAAUGCGUAGAGAUGGGGAGGAACACCAGUGGCGAAGGCGGCCUGCUGGGCUUUAACUGACGCUGAGGCACGAAAGCGUGGGUAGCAAACAGGAUUAGAUACCCUGGUAGUCCACGCUGUAAACGA